GACGAACGCUGGCGGUGUGCUUAACACAUGCAAGUCGAACGGUAAGGCCCUUUCGGGGGUACACGAGUGGCGAACGGGUGAGUAACACGUGAGUAACCUGCCCUCAUCUCUGGGAUAACAGUCGGAAACGGUUGCUAAUACUGGAUAUGAGCCUGCAAGGCAUCUUGUGGGUUGGAAAGAUUUUUUGGUUGGGGAUGGACUCGCGGCCUAUCAGCUUGUUGGUGAGGUAGUGGCUCACCAAGGCUUCGACGGGUAGCCGGUCUGAGAGGGCGACCGGCCACAUUGGGACUGAGAUACGGCCCAAACUCCUACGGGAGGCAGCAGUGGGGAAUAUUGCACAAUGGACGGAAGUCUGAUGCAGCAACGCCGCGUGCGGGAUGACGGCCUUCGGGUUGUAAACCGCUUUCAAUUGUGACGAAGCUUUUGUGACGGUAGCAGUAGAAGAAGCACCGGCUAACUACGUG
RNAcentral lists this ribosomal RNA (464 nucleotides) under uncultured bacterium. Its description in RNAcentral is "partial 16S ribosomal RNA". It matches the Rfam family "Bacterial small subunit ribosomal RNA", at positions 28 to 507 of the family's 1533-position model. The record is from RNAcentral.